GCCCGCACAAGCGGUGGAGCAUGUGGUUUAAUUUAGAAGCAACGCGAAGAACCUUGCCAGGUCUUGACAUCCCGUUGACCACUGUAGAGAUAUAGUUUCCCCUUCGGGGGCAACGGUGACAGGUGGUGCAUGGUUGUCGUCAGCUCGUGUCGUGAGAUGUUGGGUUAAGUCCCGCAACGAGCGCAACCCUUGAUCUUAGUUGCCAUCAUUUAGUUGGGCACUCUAAGGUGACUGCCGGUGACAAACCGGAGGAAGGUGGGGAUGACGUCAAAUCAUCAUGCCCCUUAUGACCUGGGCUACACACGUGCUACAAUGGACGAUACAAACGGUUGCCAACUCGCGAGAGGGAGCUAAUCCGAUAAAGUCGUUCUCAGUUCGGAUUGUAGGCUGCAACUCGCCUACAUGAAGCCGGAAUCGCUAGUAAUCGCGGAUCAGCAUGCCGCGGUGAAUACGUUCCCGGGCCUUGUACACACCGCCCGUCACACCACGAGAGUUUGUAACACCCGAAGUCGGUGAGGUAACCUUUUGGAGCCAGCCGCCGAAGGUGGGAUAGAUGAUUGGGGUGAAGUCGUAACAAGGUA
RNAcentral lists this ribosomal RNA (581 nucleotides) under uncultured Lysinibacillus sp. Its description in RNAcentral is "bacterial SSU rRNA". It matches the Rfam family "Bacterial small subunit ribosomal RNA", at positions 919 to 1498 of the family's 1533-position model. Lineage: Bacteria; Bacillati; Bacillota; Bacilli; Caryophanales; Bacillaceae. The record is from RNAcentral.